This 371-nucleotide unclassified non-coding RNA is filed under the name soil metagenome. RNAcentral describes it as "partial contains 5.8S ribosomal RNA, internal transcribed spacer 2, and large subunit ribosomal RNA". The stretch from base 1 to 120 matches the Rfam family "5.8S ribosomal RNA", at positions 35 to 154 of the family's 154-position model. The record is from RNAcentral.
GAUGAAGAACGCAGCGAAAUGCGAUAAGUAAUGUGAAUUACAGAAUUCAGUGAAUCAUCGAAUCUUUGAACGCACAUUGCGCCCCCUGGAAUUCCGGGGGGCAUGCCUGUUCGAGCGUCUCAGGAACGAACCCUCGCGCGGGUGUACGCGCGGUCGUGGCUGCGGUGGCGUGCCCGAGGCGGCGGCCACCGCGCUGGAAUCCAUGGGCGGACGCCUGCCGCGUGGCCGAGCGUGAUAUGACGCAUUGGCGCUCGCACGCGGAGAGGCUGCCAGCCCUGGCCCGUCUGUCGGGCGGGGGAGAGCAAGACACGUGAACUCCUCGAAUCAGGUAGGGAUACCCGCUGAACUUAAGCAUAUCAAUAAGCGGAGGA